UCCAGACUCCUACGGGAGGCAGCAGUGGGGGAUAUUGCACAAUGGGGGAAACCCUGAUGCAGCGACGCCGCGUGAGUGGAGAAGUAAUUCGUUACGUAAAGCUCUAUCAGCAGGGAAGAAAAUGACGGUACCUGACUAAGAAGCCCCGGCUAACUACGUGCCAGCAGCCGCGGUAAUACGUAGGGGGCAAGCGUUAUCCGGAUUUACUGGGUGUAAAGGGAGCGUAGACGGCAAUACAAGUCGGAAGUGAAAUACCCGGGCUCAACCUGGGAACUGCUUUGGAAACUGUAUGGCUGGAGUGCUGGAGAGGUAAGCGGAAUUCCUAGUGUAGCGGUGAAAUGCGUAGAUAUUAGGAGGAACACCAGUGGCGAAGGCGGCUUACUGGACAGUAACUGACGUUGAGGCUCGAAAGCGUGGGGAGCAAACAGGAUUAGAUACCCCAGUA
This 445-nucleotide ribosomal RNA is filed under the name uncultured bacterium. RNAcentral's name for it is "bacterial SSU rRNA". It matches the Rfam family "Bacterial small subunit ribosomal RNA", at positions 330 to 792 of the family's 1533-position model. The record is from RNAcentral.